UCGGGUCAUCUCCGAGCGAGAGUCACAGCCUGCUUGCGGCUUCUCACAGCCUGCUUGCAGCUCCUCACUGACGGCCUCUGCCUUCCUGGUGCUGCUGUAGGGUCAUGCGCUAGCUUCCGGAACUUGAGAGGGACUAAAGCAGUGAAACAGCAGGGACUGAGGCCGCGAUACCUGAGGGACCUUUGUCUGAGGGAAGGCUCUUACCCUGCAGGAGUCUUUUGGCCUCUAGCCUGCUCUUAACCCUGGCUUUUUGCUCCUGUUUCCCCCCACCCCUACUCUUGACUCGGUGUUUCUCUGGCUUUAAUGAAAGGAAAUACUUUAAGAUGAGAUGAGAAAACUGAAGUCAGAAAGAUAAACUGAUAAGCCCAUGCUAGAAGAGAAGUGCGAGUAUCUGAUGUCAAGGGAAUGGAAAAAGGAGUUAAAAGACAUGGUCCCUGCAUUCAGGAACUCACUUUGGAGGACUUCUGUGAAAUUCUUUCGUGGAGUGCGAUGAGAAGAAAACAGCCUGUGGAUCCAGACAAACCUGGUUUCACAUCCUGAAUCUGAAGUAUUAGGUGUGCAAAUGUGAGUAAUUUACUUCUAACUGGGUCUAAUGUAAAAAUAUCCAGAUUGCAAGAUUAUUUUGAGUUUCAGUGAGAUAGCUGGUA
Long non-coding RNA from Camelus dromedarius (Arabian camel), 647 nucleotides. RefSeq lists it as uncharacterized. The record is from RefSeq and is a predicted model, not a curated record. The transcript has 4 exons. Lineage: Eukaryota; Metazoa; Chordata; Mammalia; Artiodactyla; Camelidae.